CCUUCUCAUUUUUCUCAAAAUCUGCAAAAUACGAAAUCUCUUGAAAUUGGUUGAAAAUCGCAAAGUAUAUUCUUGAUUGAAUGCUCGUCUUGGGGUAAUGAUUUGUUUUCUCGUUAAAUCAGCCGUUUUUGAAAUGUAAUAUAUAAUUGUGCCGUAUCAAGCUAGCGCUGUAGCGUGCUGGCGCACAACUUGGUUACGGUUUUUUAUGUUUAUUUUGAUAACUUUAGAACCUACGACAAAACAAAGUCAAUUUUUGUGAUCAGCGUUCAAUUGCGAAUCUAAAUCAUGUAUUUUUUACUAGAUCUAGAUUUUUGCGAAAAAUGAAAAAGUGGGAAGGCUAAACCCUUCUCAUUUUUCUCAAAAUCUGCAAAAUACGAAAUCUCUUGAAAUUGGUUGAAAAUCGCAAAGUAUAUUCUUGAUUGAAUGCUCGUCUUGAGGUAAUGUUUUUUACUUUCUCGUUAAAUCAUCCGUUUUUGAAAUGUAAUAUAUAAUUGUGCCGUAUCAAGCUAGCGCUGUAGCGUGCUGGCGCACAACUUGGUUACGGUUUUUUAUGUUUAUUUUGAUAACUUUAGGACCUACGACAAAACAAAGUCAAUUUUCGUGAUCAGCGUUCAAUUGCGAAUCUAAAUCAUGUAUUUUUCACUAGAUCUAGAUUUUUGCGAAAAAUGAAAAAGUGGGAAGGCUAUACCCUUCUCAUUUUUCUCAAAAUCUGCAAAAUACGAAAUCUCUUGAAAUUGGUUGAAAAUCGCAAAGUAUAUUCUUGAUUGAAUGCUCGUCUUGGGGUAAUGAUUUGUUUUCUCGUUAAAUCAGCCGUUUUUGAAAUGUAAUAUAUAAUUGUGCCGUAUCAAGCUAGCGCUGUAGCGUGCUGGCGCACAACUUGGUUACGGUUUUUUAGGUUUAUUUUGAUAACUUUAGGACCUACGACAAAACAAAGUCAAUUUUCGUGAUCAGCGUUCAAUUGCGAAUCUAAAUCAUGUAUUUUUCACUAGAUCUAGUUUUUUGCGAAAAAUGAAAAAGUGGGAAGGCUAUACCCUUCUCAUUUUUCUCAAAAUCUGCAAAAUACGAAAUCUCUUGAAAUUGGUUGAAAAUCGCAAAGUAUAUUCUUGAUUGAAUGAUCGUCUUGGGGUAAUGAUUUGUUUUCUCGUUAAAUCAGCCGUUUUUGAAAUGUAAUAUAUAAUUGUGCCGUAUCAAGCUAGCGCUGUAGCGUGCUGGCGCACAACUUGGUUACGGUUUUUUAUGUUUAUUUUGAUAACUUUAGGACCUACGACAAAACAAAGUCAAUUUUCGUGAUCAGCGUUCAAUUGCGAAUCUAAAUCAUGUAUUUUUCACUAGAUCUAGAUUUUUGCGAAAAAUGAAAAAGUGGGAAGGCUAUACCCUUCUCAUUUUUCUCAAAAUCUGCAAAAUACGAAAUCUCUUGAAAUUGGUUGAAAAUCGCAAAGUAUAUUCUUGAUUGAAUGCUCGUCUUGGGGUAAUGAUUUGUUUUCUCGUUAAAUCAGCCGUUUUUGAAAUGUAAUAUAUAAUUGUGCCGUAUCAAGCUAGCGCUGUAGCAUGCUGGCGCACAACUUGGUUACGGUUUUUAAUGUUUAUUUUUGCUAAUUUAACAAGGAAACCAUUUACUUAAUCGAAAUUAGUGGUCAGUUUUGAAUAUACUGUGUGAUUUUUUCUCCAACGCUAUCGAAAACUUCGAGAACAGCGGGAGCCGUUGAGUGUAAUCUUAGCAUAUACGGUUGCCGCGAUUCAAGAGCAACUUCAGCCCAACCCUAUCGGAAACUUCACGAACGGAGUGAGGACGCCCUAGUCCGGGAGCGGCAGCACAAUAACCCACAAAACGUAUAAAACAAAUCUGAACUAGCGCUCGGCCCCGCGCCAAUCGGGGAACUUUUUAGUCGAUUGGGUGCGGGGAUGAUCUUUAUCGGUUCGGUGAUUUCGGUGAUCGGUGCGGUGAUAUCGGUGAUCGGUGCCUUCCCCGAUUAUAGUGAUCUAAAUUGGCAGUUGCCCUGCGGCCAACAAGAACAAAAUGUGACCCUAAUCACGUGAUUCUCGUUGGCCUAUCAGAACGCAAGGUCACUGGUAAAACUAACCUCCUAUGGCUGAAGCGGUGCUAUCGGUGCAGCACCGAUUAUAGCACAGUUCCGCACCGAGCUUCCCCGAUUAGAAUGUCAUCGGGGCUGAGCCCUAAUCUGAACGACUCUCAAACCUGUGUUUUAUCCCUAUUACAGCAACGCCAUCUAUUGAGAGAAAUAUCGUAAAAAUCGGUAUCGGUGAUGUACUGUACACAUGAGCCCAUCUAGACAGAAUCCCUAUCGGGAAAUUACAAGGCUACAUGCAAGGCUGAAACUGGGAAAGUGACGGGAUGGACUGAGCAUUAUGUCACUCUUAAGCGACGGUCGAAGUUGGUCCUUAAUAAAGUCUAAAUGGGGUUUUAUGUACACGUUUCAUGUUCAAAUGCUUGUUGAACUGCCUGAUGUAGUCUCCCUAUUAAAAUCCAACAGGGUUCCAAAUUGAGUGAUCGCGUUAGGCGAAAUAUUACACAGUCCUUAUUUUAAAGCUGAAUGGUCUUCACUCUAGCCCCACGUAAAGUAAAACUGAACAUUUGAACUUCUGAUCAAUCGGCAAACUGUUAGUAAACAAACAUAAUUGUUCAACAAAUAAAUGGAUCGAUUAAUAUAACAUGGUAUGGGGAAUAGAAUAUGCUGUGUUCCUAAUUAAAGUUCUGGUUAGCCCUUCAACGACCUCAUUUUAGAUUUUACCAUUCAACGCAUUGUUUUGUCAUUGAACUCUCUCUUUUUCGGAAGACAAAAAUUCGUCUGCAAUUACCAGCAGACUUUGAAAUAUGGCAAACAGCAAGGCGAGAGAACGACUGCUAGAAUAAGGUAUUGGUUCCAUUUUUACCAACCAAUACUGUGUUGACUGUUGAGCCUCAAAGAGGAAACAUAUAUAUUUUUUUCCAAAAAUGGGCUACAACUUGAUGAAUAGCUUUCGCUUCCCUUGUCUGAACUGUUUGAACGGUCUGGUGCGCACGAGCCCAGCACGUCGUACAAAUUUAGUCCCGAAGAUGUUUGUCAUUUUGUUUUGUUCGUAUAUGUACAAAAUUAUACACACAUUUCACGAGGGUUACCAGCCACUCCAACCUGCCGACAGUUUCAAAAGGUUCGACCAGGUGUUCGGCUGUUUCUGCAAUUGAGGAAAACUUUGUCGAUUUCAUAUUUGUUUUCAUCUUGAGCAAGAUUCAAGCCAACUCUGCUGAUAGUUUUCUUGUUUUAUCGAACUCCCUGAAAUUUGCAUUAUUUGGCGUUCAGUCACGGUCUUAUUUUCUACGCAACAGAGACGAUAUCGACAACUAAUGGAAGUCCACUGGAACGCUGUUUUAAUGUUGGUGAGCUUGGCCAUGGCUGAAAGCGAACAAGGUAAUGUAACUUUGGAGUCAACACAUGUAGACUCAACAAUUCUUGUACGAUGUUAUAACGACAUGAAAAAUCCCAGUCCUUAAUCGUUGCCAUUCAACCAAACUAAACUCUACACGGCGACCAUUAAUGAAAUUUCCAUUCAGCCAAGACAGAAAUACGAAGCAAUUCAGUGCAUCUGUACGACACGAAUUUGCCAGGAGAUGGCCGAGCCUGUCUGUACCACUUCCGGUUUAUGUUAUUCUCAGUACCUGGAUCGCAGGGAUGGAACUAAUCCGGUCACCAAAGGCUGCGUCAACCUGAAGACACCUCUUCUGUGCGAAAACCGUCCACCAAAGGGCACGUCAUCGCUGCGUGUUAGAUGGCCCAUUUUGCUCUGCUGUCGGACUCAAAUGUGCAAUAAAGAGGAUUUGCGACUACAAGAGCUAACUCAAACUGAUCGCACCGGACAACCUGAAGGAGUCAGCGAGAGGGAAACUGGCGAUAAUAUCGGUGAAGGCGCCAUUCACGUUCCAACCGAUAAAACCAGCCAUGGCGUAUUGACGUUUAGUAACAACAAUAAUAACAGCCAUAAUAAUAACUCACUCUCCAAUCCAACUGUUAUGAUCGUUUUCUGCGUUGGUAUGGUCGUUUUAUUGGUCAUCGGUAUCACGGGGUGUUGCGUUCUUCAGAGGCAACAGGUCUACUGAUGGGCGAUCUUCCACUAUCAGCCGCUAGAUGUCAUGUACUCUCUUUCUUUUUCUUUUUUCAUCCUUUAUGGACAGACAGCGAAAUUUCAGUUUUCUUUUAAUCUUUUCUCGUCUUCCUUUUUUUUUUUAUUGUGUAACAAUGUGUACACAACGCAUUCCUUUGCCCAAACAUGUCGACUAACUAAAACGACGACUCGAUUCCCAUACCCCCCUUCGGCUGGUUGUAUAACGGCGCUUAUCAAUUUCACAAUAGAAAAUAAACAAUAAAACCAAAACUGUAAGAAAAAAUUCACAAUUCACGAGUUUUUGUUUUAUUGCGUCAUUAUUAAAAUAAACAAGUUGCCCCAGAAUCUAUUUGAAUAAAAAGAGAGCCACGCAAUUCAAUUAACAUUUCAACGAGAAGAUAAUGAUGAUUGACCGAACCAAUUCAACUAGCCCCUGUCAUCAUCAUCAACGAAGUGAUGUUGAGCGUAGACAAGCAAGGAUUUAAAAUGGGAGGGAAAAAAAAUAGAUAACGAAAAGGAAAAAAAAAAAAGGAAAUUAAAAUGAGAACGAUGAAAAUUCUGUUGAAUGUUUGGUUUUCCACCUGUCAGAGAAUGUAACACAUUGAGCCCUGAUGAGGAUCAACCUCGUAGGGAAAUCAGGCGGAAAGGAAAAGAAGAAGAAGAAGAAGAAGAAGAAGAUAAAAAAGAACCCAACGGUGGGAAGAGAGAGAAAAAUAAAGAGACAAGAGACCCAAAGAAGGAGGAAACCUGUCGAUAAAGAUCGCCCAAGAAAAGGGCAAGAAUGUCGAGAGCUUCUUCUUUAAUGUCCCCCAUCCUAGUGUGUCCCUCGUCCUCGAAGACAAAAACCUGUCAGCAAAUAUCCACAAGAAGAAGAAAAGAAAGCCUUCUCGUGCGACUCCUCCUCCCUGCUCUCUGAUCGAUAACAUCUAUCGACAGACUUAUUUGACGACGUAGAAUGUUAAAUUAUCAUCUCUUUCCUCUACUCCCUCUUUCUGGCUUGUCUCUCCAAUGACGGCCAUCAGAAGCAGUUUCUGUAGCUCGCAUUUAAAUCUUGCCCAACUGGAAACAAAAAAUACAUAAAAAUCUCGAAACUGGACGGCAGCCAUUAUUUGCGUUGCGACACCCAGUGCUCCACAUUAAAACACGGCAAUAGCGUCCAUUAAGAACAGGUACAAUUCGACAUACCUAUGGCGGAAAAAGGAUUUACUCGACGAAUUAAUGCACGAUCCAACGUGAAAAAAAAAGUAAAAUAAAUUCAACGGAGUGGAGAAUAUCACAAGGUCGCGCGUAUUACAUUUAUAGAUAAAUGUAGCGAACGAAAUAGUUGGGGACACACAUACAGACUCCCGAAAAAAAAAAGCAGAAAGAAAAACAAACGGUCAGAUGACAAAAGAAAAGGAAGAGAACAAAAAAAAGAAGGGGAAAUAUUUGGUCUGGAAAAAUAAAAAACAAUAACAUGACUUUGCUUUUAGUGACCGCUGAAAGGGGCCAUCCUCUAAAAAAAAACACAAAAAACUAAAACCAAACAAACUCCAACAAAUAAAAAUGAAAGAAAAACAUCCAAUCCGGAAUAAAUACUCUGGACACACACAGCAAUAAGAGGCAGACAGAAAAAAGCGAUAUGAUCGAUAACCUCCAGGCAUCAGGACAGCAUUGCCACGAAAAAUGUUUUUAAUGAGAAGCUAUUCUUCGUUCAAUCGCAAACGCGAGUGGUGUGCAUUUGGAGACUUGAAAAGGGGGCAUUCGAUAUAAGCACCUGUCUAAUUACUACAAUAAUUAUGACAGCUGGAAGACAAGCUAAUGGCUCACAAUUCACGUCUUGCUUAACAGAAUUGCCAUACAAUCAAUGCGUCGAUAAGAUAUAAAUCCAUUAUUCGGCUGUGUUAUGAGUGAGUGUUUAGUACGAUCGCUGAGUUCUACAUUAUUUGAAAAGUUUACAUCUAUCAUCAUUUUUGUUUUUGAUUGAUCGAAGAGCCAUAGGUCAGCUGAGUUGCAUAGAGAUGCAUCAUCAUUACCAUCCGGCGUGUCGGACGAU
Molecule: RNA transcript, 6133 nt
Organism: Daphnia magna
Lineage: Eukaryota; Metazoa; Arthropoda; Branchiopoda; Diplostraca; Daphniidae
Exons: 5
Source: RefSeq, a predicted model, not a curated record